CCUACGGGAGGCAGCAGUGGUGAAUAUUGCACAAUGGGGGAAACCCUGAUGCAGCGACGCCGCGUGAGUGAAGAAGUAUUUCGGUAUGUAAAGCUCUAUCAGCAGGGAAGAAAUACAGUCCUUCGGACUUUGGACGUUACCUGACUAAGAAGCCCCGGCUAACUACGUGCCAGCAGCCGCGGUAAUACGUAGGGGGCAAUCGUUAUCCGGAUUUCCUGGGUGGAAAGGGAGCGGAGCCGGCAGCGCAAGUCUGGAGUGAAAUCCCAUGGCUUAACCAUGGAACUGCUUUGGAAACUGUGCAGCUGGAGUGCAGGAGAGGUAAGCGGAAUUCCUAGUGUAGCGGUGAAAUGCGUAGAUAUUAGGAGGAACACCAGUGGCGAAGGCGGCUUACUGGACUGUAACUGACGUUGAGGCUCGAAAGCGUGGGGAGCAAACAGGAUUAGAUACCCGGGUAGUC
Molecule: ribosomal RNA, 457 nt
Filed under: uncultured bacterium
Lineage: Bacteria
Description: partial 16S ribosomal RNA
Rfam family: Bacterial small subunit ribosomal RNA
Source: RNAcentral